UACGUAGGGUGCAAGCGUUAAUCGGAAUUACUGGGCGUAAAGCGUGCGCAGGCGGUUUUGUAAGUCAGAUGUGAAAUCCCCGGGCUUAACCUGGGAACUGCGUUUGAAACUACAAGGCUAGAGUGUGGCAGAGGGGGGUGGAAUUCCACGUGUAGCAGUGAAAUGCGUAGAGAUGUGGAGGAACACCGAUGGCGAAGGCAGCCCCCGGGGUUAACACUGACGCUCAGGCACGAAAGCGUGGGGAGCAAACAGG
This 253-nucleotide ribosomal RNA is filed under the name uncultured bacterium. RNAcentral describes it as "partial 16S ribosomal RNA". It matches the Rfam family "Bacterial small subunit ribosomal RNA", at positions 524 to 776 of the family's 1533-position model. The record is from RNAcentral.